AGAAAGAUGCAACUGUAUUAAUUAAUGUAUUGUAUUAAAUCACAGUUUAAAUGCGUUGGCACCCGGAGUGAAGAUCAGCAGCACGUUUGAAUGAUACAUGUCAUAUUAGCACUUUUGUUAUUUCUGCCUGAAUUGGAACUCUUCUGCAGAGCUAGAGCAAACAUGGAGCAAAUAUAAUUCAUACUGCAAACGUGAAUACAUGCAGUGUUAGAGGGGGAAAGAAUGCACUUCUCCUGGUGUUUAGAAUAAUCUUCAGUUUGUCAGAGGUUUUAUAGGAAGUUCACAAGAGACAGUUGCAAGCAGAACCAGCUUGGCAGGGGAGGCAGGCCUCCCUGAGAUAGCCCUGUGGGGAUCCUGGUGAAAAUGAGCUCAGAUUUGACCAAGUGAGGAGUCUUUGAGAACAGCAUUUUCCACACAUGUGGCAAUGUGGUUUUUUCAUAUUAUCUAACAAAAGCAUUCAGAGUGAAUAUAAGCUGCUCUCUGCAUGCACAAGCAGCUAACUGGCAGGCAGGCCGAGCAUUCACACCUUCUGAGUUAAACCCUGCCAGCACAAUCAACCUCGUCUGCAAAUUGUUCUACAUUGUCUGUUGGGAAGAAGACAACACUAGGAGAUCCAGUGUGGUGGGCUUAGAAAGGAAGGAAGGAUACUGCAUCAUCGUGGACACUGCUUGUCCACUUCUUGAAAAUGCCAGACUAAGAAUGCAGCAUAAUACAAACAUAUAA
Cyanistes caeruleus (blue tit) is the source of this 723-nucleotide long non-coding RNA. Lineage: Eukaryota; Metazoa; Chordata; Aves; Passeriformes; Paridae. The record is from Ensembl.